GGUGAGUAACACGUGGGUGAUCUGCCCUGCACUUUGGGAUAAGCCUGGGAAACUGGGUCUAAUACCGAAUAUGAUCAUCGGCUUCAUGGUCGGUGGUGGAAAGCUUUUGCGGUGUGGGAUGGGCCCGCGGCCUAUCAGCUUGUUGGUGGGGUAAUGGCCUACCAAGGCGACGACGGGUAGCCGGCCUGAGAGGGUGACCGGCCACACUGGGACUGAGAUACGGCCCAGACUCCUACGGGAGGCAGCAGUGGGGAAUAUUGCACAAUGGGCGCAAGCCUGAUGCAGCGACGCCGCGUGAGGGAUGACGGCCUUCGGGUUGUAAACCUCUUUCAGCACAGACGAAGCGCAAGUGACGGUAUGUGCAGAAGAAGGACCGGCCAACUACGUGCCAGCAGCCGCGGUAAUACGUAGGGUCCGAGCGUUGUCCGGAAUUACUGGGCGUAAAGAGCUCGUAGGUGGUUUGUCGCGUUGUUCGUGAAAACUCACAGCUUAACUGUGGGCGUGCGGGCGAUACGGGCAGACUAGAGUACUGCAGGGGAGACUGGAAUUCCUGGUGUAGCGGUGGAAUGCGCAGAUAUCAGGAGGAACACCGGUGGCGAAGGCGGGUCUCUGGGCAGUAACUGACGCUGAGGAGCGAAAGCGUGGGGAGCGAACAGGAUUAGAUACCCUGGUAGUCCACGCCGUAAACGGUGGGUACUAGGUGUGGGUUUCCUUCCUUGGGAUCCGUGCCGUAGCUAACGCAUUAAGUACCCCGCCUGGGGAGUACGGCCGCAAGGCUAAAACUCAAAGGAAUUGACGGGGGCCCGCACAAGCGGCGGAGCAUGUGGAUUAAUUCGAUGCAACGCGAAGAACCUUACCUGGGUUUGACAUGCACAGGACGCUGGUAGAGAUAUCAGUUCCCUUGUGGCCUGUGUGCAGGUGGUGCAUGGCUGUCGUCAGCUCGUGUCGUGAGAUGUUGGGUUAAGUCCCGCAACGAGCGCAACCCUUGUCCUAUGUUGCCAGCGGGUUAUGCCGGGGACUCGUAGGAGACUGCCGGGGUCAACUCGGAGGAAGGUGGGGAUGACGUCAAGUCAUCAUGCCCCUUAUGUCCAGGGCUUCACACAUGCUACAAUGGCCGGUACAAAGGGCUGCGAUGCCGUGAGGUGGAGCGAAUCCUUUCAAA
RNAcentral lists this ribosomal RNA (1162 nucleotides) under Mycolicibacterium neoaurum. Its description in RNAcentral is "bacterial SSU rRNA". It matches the Rfam family "Bacterial small subunit ribosomal RNA", at positions 105 to 1281 of the family's 1533-position model. The record is from RNAcentral. Lineage: Bacteria; Bacillati; Actinomycetota; Actinomycetes; Mycobacteriales; Mycobacteriaceae.